UCUCUUUCCCAGUAGCAUACCUGAUGACUGACCUCUGGCCCAAUACCCAACCUGAUUACUGACCUUUCUUUCCCAGUAACAUACCUGAUGACUGACCUCUGGCCCAAUACCCAACCUGAUUACUGACCUCUCUUUCCCAGUAACAUACCUGAUGACUGACCUCUGUCCCAAUACCCAACCUGAUGCACUAGGUAGUGUGAAGCAAAGUGUUGGCCAUGCAUACUAAGUAGUGUGCGUAUUGGGACACUAGGCCAUAUCACCACCACAAAAAGCUUUGUCUUUUUAAAACCUGUUUGAUUGAACUUUAUGCACUCUAUUCCCUAUGUAGUGCACUACUUUAGACCUGAGCCCCUAUAGGCAAUAGGGUGGUAUUUGGUUUGCACACUUAUUUAGCCUGGGGAAGUCACAUCAAAGUUCAGCAUCUCUUGUUCAAGAUAAGGGUUUACACUAACUGAGUUUCAGAUCUGAUCUAGGAUCAGGUCCACCUUUAAUGAAUCAGAUUAAAUGGACAAGGACCUGUUCCUAGAUCAACAAUCCUACUGAUCUAGGAUCAGUUUAAUGAAUCAGAUGAAAUGGACAGGGACCUGGUCCUAGAUCAACACUCCUACUGAUCUAGGAUCAGUUCAGCCUUGAAUGAAUCAGAUGAAAUGGACAGGGACCUGGUCCUAGAUCAACACCUCUGUUGAUCCGGGAUCAGUUUAAUGAAUCAGAUUAAAUGGACGGGGGACUUGGUCCUAGAUCAACACCUCUGUUGAUCAGGGAUCAGUUUAAUGAAUCAGAUUAAAUGGACGGGGGACCUGGUCCUAGAUCAAAACUCCUACUCUGUGAAUAUGGUUCCAGGGAUAUAGUUUACAAAAUCUGAUUUCUAGGAUAAUAUUUAUUUACGUGGAAUACUAUAGGAUGUAGGGGUAGGGUGCCAUAUUGGAAGGACUGUGUCACAUUCAACAAAAAUAAAAGGUGCCUCUGUGUUGCCCGUAUCACAUACACGCUGUGUCCAAAACGUCACACUCUUCCCUACAUAGGCCACUACGUCAUUCCCUUAAAUAUAUAGUGUACCACUUUUUUAAACUGGUCAAACCGAAAUGGCAACCCGUUCACUACACAGUGCCCCAGUGCACUACUUUAGACCAGGGCUGUAGGGACCUAUUGGAAUAGGGUUUCAGACCAGGGCCCCAGUGCACUACUUUAGACCAGGGCCGUAGGGACCUGUUUGAAUAGGGUUUCGGACCUGGGCCGUAGUGACCUAUUUGAAUAGGGUUUCAGACCAGGGCCGUAGGGACCUAUUGGAAUAGGGUUUCAGACCAGGGCCGUAGGGACCUAUUGGAAUACGGUUUCAGACCAGGGCCGUAGGGACCUAUUGGAAUAGGGUUUCAGACCAGGGCCGUAGGGCACUAUUUGA
Molecule: long non-coding RNA, 1399 nt
Organism: Oncorhynchus tshawytscha (Chinook salmon)
Lineage: Eukaryota; Metazoa; Chordata; Actinopteri; Salmoniformes; Salmonidae
Source: Ensembl